RNAcentral lists this ribosomal RNA (1425 nucleotides) under Triticum aestivum (bread wheat). Its description in RNAcentral is "partial small subunit ribosomal RNA". Lineage: Eukaryota; Viridiplantae; Streptophyta; Magnoliopsida; Poales; Poaceae. The record is from RNAcentral.
AUGGAAGCCGACUCCUCGCCCUCGCCGCUGCGCGUCGUGGUCGUCCCGUGGCUCGCGUUCGGCCACCUGCUCCCGUACCUGGAGCUCUCCGAGCGGCUCGCCGAGCGGGGCCACAGCGUGAGCUACGUCUCCACGCCGCGCAACCUCGCCCGCCUCCCGCCGGUGCGCCCCGCCGCCGCGCCGCGCGUGGACCUCGUCGCCCUCCCGCUGCCGCGCGUCGACGGCCUCCCCGACGGGGAGUCCACCAACGACAUCUCCUACGGCGAGCGUAAGUUCCACUGGAAGGCCUUCGACGGCCUCGCCGCGCCCUUCGCGGAGUUCCUGGCCGCCGCGUGCGCCGACGAGGCCACCAGGCCUCACUGGAUCGUCGCCGACUGCUUCCACCACUGGGCCGCCGCCGCCGCCCUCGAGCACAAGGUGCCAUUGGCGAUGCUUCAGCCGACCGCUGCUUCGAUCGCCGCUGCGCAACGCCCGCCGUCGGUGCACCCCGACCCCGAUGCCUCUGUGGUUGAACAGCCAGGAGCCGCGGCCGCGCGCGCUGUGCCCCGUUACGAACGGGAGGGGCAUGCAGCGUUUACCACUGGCCAUGGCGCGUCGUCGGGUGGUAUGUCCGUCGUCCAGCGCUUUAUCUUGACAAAAGACGGGAGCACGGUAGCGGCCAUGCGGAGCUGCAUCGAGUGGGAACCCGAGACCUUCCCUCUGGCGGAGACGCUCCUCGGCAAGCCGGUCAUUCCCCUCGGCCUUCUGCCUCCGUCAGCCGAGGGAGCCCGCCGUGCCGCCGCCCAAGGAGAAGAGCACGCCACCGAGCAGUGGCUGAACGCGCAACCGCCCGACUCCGUUAUUUACGUCGCACUGGGAAGCGAGGUGCCGCUGCGCGUGGAGCAGGUGCACGAGAUGGCGUUCGGGCUAGAGCUCGCCGGGACACGCUUCCUCUGGGCUCUGAGAAAGCCCAGCGGCGCCGCCGACGACGACAGCGCCGACAUGCUCCCUCCCGGUUUCCAGGACCGCACCAGCGGCCGCGGGCUGGUGACCACGGGGUGGGUUCCCCAGAUGAGCAUCCUGGCGCACGCGGCCGUGGGCGGGUUCCUGACACACUGCGGACGGAACUCGCUGAUCGAGAGCCUCCUGUUCGGGCACCCUCUGGUGAUGCUGCCCAUCUACGGCGACCAAGGGCCGAACGCGCGGCAGAUGGAGGCGAAGCAGGUGGGGUUGCAGGUGGCGAGGAACGAGGACGACGGGUCGUUCGACCGCCAUGGCGUCUCGACCGCCGUCCGGGCCGUCAUGGUUGAGGAAGAGGCCAGGAGGGGCUUCGUGGCAGGCGCAGCAAAGAUACAGGCGGUCGUAGCUGAUACGGAGCUCCACGGCAGGUACAUCGAUGAAUUUGUCGAGCACCUCAGAUCUUACGCCGCAGCAAGUGCAAACUGA